AACGCGAAGAACCUUACCUGGGCUCGAAAUGUACGGGACCGUCGUAGAAAUACGAUCUCCUAGCAAUAGGUCCGUAUAUAGGUGCUGCAUGGCUGUCGUCAGCUCGUGUCGUGAGAUGUUGGGUUAAGUCCCGCAACGAGCGCAACCCUUAUCUCCAGUUGCUACCAUUUAGUUGAGCACUCUGGCGAAACCGCCUCGGAUAACGGGGAGGAAGGUGGGGAUGACGUCAAGUCCUCAUGGCCUUUAUGUCCAGGGCUACACACGUGCUACAAUGGCCGGUACAAACCGCUGCAACCCCGCGAGGGUGAGCUAAUCGGAAAAAAGCGCGCUCAGUUCGGAUUGCAGUCUGCAACUCGACUGCAUGAAGCCGGAAUCGCUAGUAAUGGCGCAUCAGAACGGCGCCGUGAAUACGUUCCCGGGCCUUGUACACACCGACUGUAC
Molecule: ribosomal RNA, 441 nt
Filed under: uncultured bacterium
Lineage: Bacteria
Description: bacterial SSU rRNA
Rfam family: Bacterial small subunit ribosomal RNA
Source: RNAcentral